RNAcentral lists this ribosomal RNA (1355 nucleotides) under uncultured bacterium. RNAcentral describes it as "bacterial SSU rRNA". It matches the Rfam family "Bacterial small subunit ribosomal RNA", at positions 28 to 1381 of the family's 1533-position model. The record is from RNAcentral.
GAUGAACGCUAGCUACAGGCUUAACACAUGCAAGUCGAGGGGCAGCGGGAUUGAAGCUUGCUUCAAUUGCCGGCGACCGGCGCACGGGUGAGUAACGCGUAUCCAACCUUCCGCUUACUCGGGGAUAGCCUUUCGAAAGAAAGAUUAAUACCCGAUGGUAUGAUGAGAUUGCAUGAUAGCAUCAUUAAAGAUUUAUUGGUAAGCGAUGGGGAUGCGUUCCAUUAGGUAGUAGGCGGGGUAACGGCCCACCUAGCCGACGAUGGAUAGGGGUUCUGAGAGGAAGGUCCCCCACAUUGGAACUGAGACACGGUCCAAACUCCUACGGGAGGCAGCAGUGAGGAAUAUUGGUCAAUGGACGAGAGUCUGAACCAGCCAAGUAGCGUGAAGGAUGAAGGUCCUACGGAUUGUAAACUUCUUUUAUAAGGGAAUAAAACCUCCCACGUGUGGGAGCUUGUAUGUACCUUAUGAAUAAGCAUCGGCUAACUCCGUGCCAGCAGCCGCGGUAAUACGGAGGAUGCGAGCGUUAUCCGGAUUUAUUGGGUUUAAAGGGAGCGCAGACGGGUCGUUAAGUCAGCUGUGAAAGUUUGGGGCUCAACCUUAAAAUUGCAGUUGAUACUGGCGUCCUUGAGUGCGGUUGAGGUGUGCGGAAUUCGUGGUGUAGCGGUGAAAUGCUUAGAUAUCACGAAGAACUCCGAUUGCGAAGGCAGCACACUAAGCCGUAACUGACGUUCAUGCUCGAAAGUGUGGGUAUCAAACAGGAUUAGAUACCCUGGUAGUCCACACGGUAAACGAUGGAUACUCGCUGUUGGCGAUAUACUGUCAGCGGCUUAGCGAAAGCGUUAAGUAUCCCACCUGGGGAGUACGCCGGCAACGGUGAAACUCAAAGGAAUUGACGGGGGCCCGCACAAGCAGUGGAGUAUGUGGUUUAAUUCGACGCAACGCGAAGAACCUUACCAAGUCUUGACAUCCCUUGACGAUGCUGGAAACAGUAUUUCUCUUCGGAGCAAGGAGACAGGUGGUGCAUGGUUGUCGUCAGCUCGUGUCGUGAGAUGUUGGGUUAAGUCCCGCAACGAGCGCAACCCUUAUGGUCAGUUACUACGCAAGAGGACUCUGGCCAGACUGCCGUUGACAAAACGGAGGAAGGUGGGGAUGACGUCAAAUCAUCAUGCCCUUUAUGACUUGGGCUACACACGUACUACAAUGGCGUUAAACAAAGAGAAGCAAGACCGCGAGGUGGAGCAAAACUCAGAAACAACGUCCCAGUUCGGACUGCAGGCUGCAACUCGCCUGCUCGAAGUCGGAAUUGCUAGUAAUCGUGGAAUCAGCGUGCCACGGUGAAUACGUUUCCCGGGCCU